GUCUCUGUGGCGCAAUCCGUUAGCGCGUUCGGCUGUUAACCGAAAUUUUGGUGGUUCAAGCCCACCCAGGGACG
RNAcentral lists this transfer RNA (74 nucleotides) under Anneissia japonica. Its description in RNAcentral is "tRNA-Asn". It matches the Rfam family "tRNA". From Rfam's summary of the family: Transfer RNA (tRNA) molecules are approximately 80 nucleotides in length. Their secondary structure includes four short double-helical elements and three loops (D, anti-codon, and T loops). The record is from RNAcentral. Lineage: Eukaryota; Metazoa; Echinodermata; Crinoidea; Comatulida; Comatulidae.